This is a long non-coding RNA of Vulpes vulpes (red fox), 1554 nucleotides long. Lineage: Eukaryota; Metazoa; Chordata; Mammalia; Carnivora; Canidae. The record is from Ensembl.
GCCAAAUAUAGUAUUCUUUGGAGAAAAGUUGUUUCAAGUUUUGGUGUCUCUGCCCUACUAUUGCCCAGGGCUUGUGUUCACCUUUGUCCUUCCUUUGUUCUCAUCACCUGAGUCAGAUGAUGGACAAGACAGCUCAUGACCACGAAUCAGCCAGAGAAAGAGCUGAAGGGCCCAGCAUGAAGUCUUUGUUCCCAAGAGGUGGUGUGGUACCUGGGGACCAUUAUGACAACAUACACCACCUAGGGGGCCCUCUAUGGAUGACAGCUCCUCCUGUGAGUCACCCUUCUCCCUUCGCAGCGUGGGUCUCGACACCCUGUGCCUCUUUGCUCCCGUUUUUCUCCUGUUAUCAGAAUCUUGUCUAGAUGCUUGAGCCCCAAACACACUUCUCUACAGCCCUGGCCCUUCUGCCCAUCCUAGCGAUGCAGGAAAGAAGGCAGAAAAGAAACAAGAGAAGCCAAAGCCAUUGGCUUUCAUGUAUUUCUUCUUCUCUUUAGAGUUCAUAAAUCUGCAGUUUAUCUAAAGUUUUCCAGUGUUUUCAAAUUUGGCACCCCAGCAGCAACAGCCCAUGAACACCAGCUCUGCAGACUCAUGUACACACUUGAUAAGAUUCGCCCUGGAGCUAUGCUGCCAGUAGUCACCCGAGCUGAUGCGUGGAGCCCAGAAGAUCCGUUCUCUAAAAAUGAAGAGGAAGCCCACUAUUUUCCACAAGGGCCCAGCACUGCAGACAGUCUAAACAUGAACAGAGAAGCGUGCUUCCAGAAAUUGGAACAAAGUCCUGGGAAAGCAGAAGGAACUGGCUUAGACACGGAUUUUGAUUCUAGAAUGGACGUUGGUGAGGAACAACACAGGAGGGAGCAAACUACUGGGCUUGAGUCUAAGAUCCAUGAAGGGGUGAGCAAGAGAUGUCCUGUAUUCAUGCACCACCCACCAUGGACCAGCAUGGAGCAUAUGUCUCAAAGACCCUAAGGUAAAGCAGGUUUCCACGGUAGGAUGUGAAACAGGCUAAGCUAUAGAAAACUGCCAUAAGUCAACUCAGCAUGUGGCCAUUCAUCCUUCUGUGUUGAAGCACAGAUCAAUCUUAGCAUAAAUAACAGUUGGGACCUUGAAGAGAACUGUCAAUAGUUCUUAACAGUUAAUAGUACUGAACUCCUGCCAGAGAUGGGGAAAAAAAAAAAAAAGUCUGCCAUUCAGAAAUACAUGGUGAAUUCAAAACAUAGCCUCUUGCUGAGACAACUAGUAACAGUAAUGAGCCAUGGAAGUUUCUGGAAAAGGCCCAUCAAAACAGCUGACAAAGGGGGAUGGAGCUUAACGAAUGAAUUACUAGUUAUUACUACCAAUUUUCUAGGCUUUCCCCAAGGUUAUCAUCUCCAGCUGCACCUUGCAGCUUCCACAUAAUGAAAUUUGGGGGAGGAUGGAGACUCCAUACAGUGAGAAGUUUUUCUAAGAAGGUUCUUCUAGAACAUCUCUCACUGGCUCUGUGCAGAGGGGACUUUCCUCAUCAGAGCCAACCUUCUAGGAAACCACGUAUCCAGCAGUCUAUACAGUGAUUUUUAA